CAGGCCUAACACAUGCAAGUCGAGCGGAUGAAGGGAGCUUGCUCCCGGAUUCAGCGGCGGACGGGUGAGUAAUGCCUAGGAAUCUGCCUGGUAGUGGGGGACAACGUUUCGAAAGGAACGCUAAUACCGCAUACGUCCUACGGGAGAAAGCAGGGGACCUUCGGGCCUUGCGCUAUCAGAUGAGCCUAGGUCGGAUUAGCUAGUUGGUGAGGUAAUGGCUCACCAAGGCGACGAUCCGUAACUGGUCUGAGAGGAUGAUCAGUCACACUGGAACUGAGACACGGUCCAGACUCCUACGGGAGGCAGCAGUGGGGAAUAUUGGACAAUGGGCGAAAGCCUGAUCCAGCCAUGCCGCGUGUGUGAAGAAGGUCUUCGGAUUGUAAAGCACUUUAAGUUGGGAGGAAGGGUUGUAGAUUAAUACUCUGCAAUUUUGACGUUACCGACAGAAUAAGCACCGGCUAACUCUGUGCCAGCAGCCGCGGUAAUACAGAGGGUGCAAGCGUUAAUCGGAAUUACUGGGCGUAAAGCGCGCGUUUGGAUGUGAAAUCCCCGGGCUUAACCUGGGAACUGCAUCCAAAACCGGCGAGCUAGAGUAUGGUAGAGGGUGGUGGAAUUUCCUGUGUAGCGGUGAAAUGCGUAGAUAUGUGGAGGAAUACCGAUGGCGAAGGCAGCCCCCCUGGGAUAACACUGACGCUCAUGCACGAAAGCGUGGGGAGCAAACAGGAUUAGAUACCCUGGUAGUCCACGCCCUAAACGAUGUCAACUAGUUGUCGGGUCUUAAUUGACUUGGUAACGCAGCUAACGCGUGAAGUUGACCGCCUGGGGAGUACGGUCGCAAGAUUAAAACUCAAAGGAAUUGACGGGGACCCGCACAAGCGGUGGAUGAUGUGGAUUAAUUCGAUGCAACGCGAAAAACCUUACCUACCCUUGACAUGUACGGAAUCCUGCUGAGAGGUGGGAGUGCUCGAAAGAGAACCGUAACACAGGUGCUGCAUGGCUGUCGUCAGCUCGUGUCGUGAGAUGUUGGGUUAAGUCCCGCAACGAGCGCAACCCUUGUCAUUAGUUGCUACGAAAGGGCACUCUAAUGAGACUGCCGGUGACAAACCGGAGGAAGGUGGGGAUGACGUCAAGUCCUCAUGGCCCUUAUGGGUAGGGCUUCACACGUCAUACAAUGGUACAUACAGAGGGCCGCCAACCCGCGAGGGGGAGCUAAUCCCAGAAAGUGUAUCGUAGUCCGGAUUGUAGUCUGCAACUCGACUACAUGAAGUUGGAAUCGCUAGUAAUCGCGGAUCAGCAUGUCGCGGUGAAUACGUUCCCGGGUCUUGUACACACCGCCCGUAC
This 1341-nucleotide ribosomal RNA is filed under the name uncultured beta proteobacterium. RNAcentral's name for it is "partial 16S rRNA". It matches the Rfam family "Bacterial small subunit ribosomal RNA", at positions 43 to 1399 of the family's 1533-position model. Lineage: Bacteria; Pseudomonadati; Pseudomonadota; Betaproteobacteria. The record is from RNAcentral.